UGAACGCUGGCGGCGUGCUUAACACAUGCAAGUCGAACGAGAAAGGGAUUGCUUGCAAUCCUGAGUAGAGUGGCGCACGGGUGAGUAACACGUAGAUAAUCUACCUUCAAGCCUGGGAUAACUAUUCGAAAGGGUAGCUAAUACCGGAUAAAGUAUUUUAGCAAAAGUUAAACUAUGAAAGAUUGCCUCUAUUUAUAAGCAAUUGUUUGGAGAUGAGUUUGCGGACCAUUAGUUAGUUGGUGGGGUAAAGGCCUACCAAGACUACGAUGGUUAGCUGGUCUGAGAGGAUGAUCAGCCACACUGGAACUGGUACACGGUCCAGACUCCUACGGGAGGCAGCAGUGAGGAAUUUUGCGCAAUGGGGGAAACCCUGACGCAGCAACGCCGCGUGAGUGAAGAAGGCCUUUGGGUCGUAAAGCUCUGUCGACAGGGAAGAAGUUAAGGUUAUCCAAUAGGUAACCUUAUUGACGGUACCUGUAGAGGAAGCACCGGCUAACUCC
Molecule: ribosomal RNA, 500 nt
Filed under: uncultured bacterium
Lineage: Bacteria
Description: bacterial SSU rRNA
Rfam family: Bacterial small subunit ribosomal RNA
Source: RNAcentral